AAGCGCGCAACAGCUCAAAUUUGAAAUCUGGGCCUCCGGGUCCGAGUUGUAAUUUGUAGAGGAUGCUUUUGGCGAGGUGCCUUCCGAGUUCCCUGGAACGGGACGCCAUAGAGGGUGAGAGCCCCGUCUGGUCGGACACCGAGCCUCUGUAAAGCUCCUUCGACGAGUCGAGUAGUUUGGGAAUGCUGCUCAAAAUGGGAGGUAUAUGUCUUCUAAAGCUAAAUAUUGGCCAGAGACCGAUAGCGCACAAGUAGAGUGAUCGAAAGAUGAAAAGCACUUUGAAAAGAGGGUUAAAAAGUACGUGAAAUUGUUGAAAGGGAAGCGCCUAUGACCAGACUUGGGCCCGGUGAAUCAUCCAGCGUUCUCGCUGGUGCACUUUGCCGGGCACAGGCCAGAUCAGUUUGGCGCGGGGGAAAAAGGUUUUGGGAAUGUGGCUCCCUCGGGAGUGUUAUAGCCCAUUGCGUAGUACCUGCCCCAGACUGAGGUAGCGCAUCGCAGGGAUGCUGGCGUAAUGGUCAUCAGC
This 523-nucleotide ribosomal RNA is filed under the name Cordyceps farinosa. Its description in RNAcentral is "LSU rRNA". It matches the Rfam family "Eukaryotic large subunit ribosomal RNA", at positions 95 to 645 of the family's 3401-position model. The record is from RNAcentral. Lineage: Eukaryota; Fungi; Ascomycota; Sordariomycetes; Hypocreales; Cordycipitaceae.